Molecule: ribosomal RNA, 253 nt
Filed under: uncultured bacterium
Lineage: Bacteria
Description: partial 16S ribosomal RNA
Rfam family: Bacterial small subunit ribosomal RNA
Source: RNAcentral
UACGAAGGGUGCAAGCGUUAAUCGGAAUUACUGGGCGUAAAGCGUGCGUAGGCGGUUGCUUAAGUCUGUUGUGAAAUCCCCGGGCUCAACCUGGGAAUGGCAAUGGAUACUGGGCAGCUAGAGUGUGUCAGAGGAUGGUGGAAUUCCCGGUGUAGCGGUGAAAUGCGUAGAGAUCGGGAGGAACAUCAGUGGCGAAGGCGGCCAUCUGGGACAACACUGACGCUGAGGCACGAAAGCGUGGGGAGCGAACAGG